RNAcentral lists this ribosomal RNA (478 nucleotides) under uncultured bacterium. RNAcentral describes it as "partial 16S ribosomal RNA". It matches the Rfam family "Bacterial small subunit ribosomal RNA", at positions 28 to 523 of the family's 1533-position model. The record is from RNAcentral.
GACAAACGCUGGCGGCGUGCUUAACACAUGCAAGUCGAACGGUAAGGCCCUUCGGGGUACACGAGUGGCGAACGGGUGAGUAACACGUGGGUGAUCUGCCCUGCACUUCGGGAUAAGCCUGGGAAACUGGGUCUAAUAACGGAUAAGACCACUGCCUGCAUGGGGGGUGGUGGAAAGCUGUUGCGGUGUGGGAUUGGGCCGCGGCCUAGCAGCUUGGUGGUGGGGUGAUGGCCUACCAAGGCGACGACGGGUAGCCGGCCUGAGAGGGUGACCGGCCACACUGGGACUGAGAUACGGCCCAGACUCCUACGGGAGGCAGCAGUGGGGAAUAUUGCACAAUGGGCGCAAGCCUGAUGCAGCGACGCCGCGUGAGGGAUGACGGCCUUCGGGUUGUAAACCUCUUUCAGCACCGACGAAGCGCAAGCGACGGUAGGUGCAGAAGAAGGACCGGCCAACUACGUGCCAGCAGCCGCAGUAA